AAAUAUUUUCCCAAAAUAUUCAUUUCCUGCUUCUCUCUCCUUACUCUUCUCUGGUUAUUGUAACCUAACUCCAAUUUCCCGCUUAUCUCUCUUCCCCUCUAUGGUUUCUCUCCUUCCCCUCUCUGUUUCUUCUCUGGGUGCGAAAUUCAGACUCACAACACUCACUACAUAGGCACACAGCUGUUCCCCCACCGCCGAGCUGUCGCUGUUGUCUCCCACCGCCGAGUUGCCGCUGUUGUCUCCCACCGCCGAGUUGCCGUUGUUAUUCCCCCACCGCCGCGUCGCUCCUCCUUAUCUCUUUUCCCCGGAACCAGCAAAGAGAGGCUGUUCUCCACCUCCACAGGCUAAAAAGGCUUCUCGCCCUAGGUAAACUGUUGUUAUAUUAGUUUGAUCAAUAGAUGCAUUUUUGUGAAAUUGAUUUUCCUUUCUGAUUUUCUUGGGCAAUGUCUUACUGGUAGCUUUGCUUGUUGUGGCUACCUUUUUAUGCCCUUUGGAAAAUACUUACAAUAGUUUGUUCUUGAUCUCUUUGCUGGACUUUUUUGUAAUGAGAGUACGAGACCGUUCACCAGUGUAAUGAGAGUACGAGACCAUUGACCGUUCACCAGGUUCUUUUCAUGUUUUAUACUUUUAUGCAGUGAAGAGAAUAAGGGCUUCUGAUUUCAACCCACACAAUACCAGCCAUUUGAACUGGUGAUAAGCACAAGUUAUUCUGAAAAAACAAAAACAAAAGCAAAAUUACAAGGGGGAAAAAGAACAACUUCAGAUGCUAAAUGUUAGAUACUUUGACCUAUGUUAAACCAGGUGUAUAAAAAAAACUAAGCCAUGUGUGUUACAUAGUAGGCAAGUUCUGCAUAGGUCAUGAUGUAUGGUAGUGUAGUCACAAACCCAACCAGAUAUUAUAGAGAUGCAAGAAAGUGUGACUAUUUUAUCUGUGGAUGCAUGCUAAUGCUCUGAUUACUUGAUCCUUCUUUACUGGCAUCGUGUUGGGAGGAUUAGUUCAAUUCUUUUGAUUAGGACACUGAGACAACUCCAUAUUUCGAGUCUAUUGUUUAAAGAUUUAUGAUUGAUGUUUUUAAGUGAGCAAUGAAAAGUGCUCUUUAUAUUCUUUUCAAUUCCUUCAUAAUUAGUUAUUUUUUUUCACCUCAAACAAUUGGUUUACAUUUUUCAUUGAUUCAAUAAGUUUCAUAAUGAAACUACUGCAGCUUGCAGGAAGUAUGGACCGUGGGUUGCAAGGAAUCCUACUCUUGUUCUGUGCUCCUCAAUUACUUUAGUUCUUAUUCUUUGCUUGGGUUUACUAUGUUUCUGGGUCGAGACUCGACCUGAGAAGGUCUGUUAGCAUCCGGUUCUCCCCUUUACAUCAAUUGUACAGGAUCACAAAUGUUAAAUUCUGGACUAGUUUGUCAAAGAACAUGAAUAGAUGCAAAAGCUUCGUACUCCACAUCAACGAAAGAUUUGUAUCUCUCAUGCUCCGGACAUAGGGACUCUACUUAGUAGAAAUUGAAGACAAAAUAAAGGAUCCAACCUUAAUUAGUAAAUGUUGUAGUGUAACAUAAUGGUGUAGAAUUAUGUGAAUUUUUGUGAUACUUGGCAUUCAUGUUUGCAAACUGAAGUUGAGUGGGUCCCUAUUUUCAGGUUAUAUAGUAAAUGAUAUUCAUGGAAUCAUGUGGUUGUAGUGCGUUCUAUUAAAGCCUAAAACCAACUUUCAUCAUGUACUGCUACGCUUCACAUGUUUUGUGUUUCUAUACUGCUGCGCUGCAUUCUGAUCUGAUCUUAUUCCUCUUUUCUGAUCUGUACUGAUGCUUACUGAUAUGCAUCAAUGUUUUACUGACCUGCACGGCUGCUGCAUACUUCUCUGCAUGUUGAUCUGCACGGGUGCUGCAUCAUUAAGGUGGUUAAGUAUUAAGGCUAUUCUUUCGGGAGUACGAAGUAUUGUAGAGGUUGUUGUUGCAUUGCUAAAGGUUGUAUUUCCUCUUUCUAUUGACAAUACAAGAAACUGGCAAUCGACAAUCAAAUAUGAUUCUGACAAAAAUGCUGAAGGUGGAAAAGAUUUUUCACAGUCCAGAAAGCUUAUGAAUUCUUGCAGCGUGCAUGUACUUCUUGAAUAUAUUUUUUUAAUCUACUACACAUAUGAUGAUCAUAUUUCCUUUUCAA
This is a long non-coding RNA of Spinacia oleracea (spinach), 2151 nucleotides long. RefSeq lists it as uncharacterized. Lineage: Eukaryota; Viridiplantae; Streptophyta; Magnoliopsida; Caryophyllales; Amaranthaceae. The record is from RefSeq and is a predicted model, not a curated record. The transcript is spliced from 3 exons.